Hypomesus transpacificus is the source of this 197-nucleotide long non-coding RNA. RefSeq lists it as uncharacterized. The record is from RefSeq and is a predicted model, not a curated record. NCBI's taxonomy places the organism in Eukaryota, Metazoa, Chordata, Actinopteri, Osmeriformes, Osmeridae. The transcript is spliced from 3 exons.
UGUGAGAAAGAUGUGUUUGAAGCAGAUGACGGUCUCCAGGGAGAAGGCGCCAAACUGCCGACCCCUGCGGACGACGGAGAGGGUGGUGAGAGUGGAUGAGGCCUGCACUGAGUUGGACUCCUCCUCAGACUCAUCCCUUAGCUCUGACCUGCAGUGGGAUUUUGAACAAGCAAGCCCACAAUGGAGCAGACCCCCCC